AAAUAUUGUACGGAUUGAAUGCUGUUUACCAUUUCUUUUGUUUUUUCUAGGUGAUGAAGCCCAAUGAUGCACAGUUAUGGCAACGCAACAACCUCCCCCAGAGAAGUUAUUGUACAAUGAGCUGACGUCAGGUCGGUUCCUUGAAGUGGGGCUGAAUAAACCUUGA
Molecule: long non-coding RNA, 166 nt
Filed under: Neogobius melanostomus (round goby)
Lineage: Eukaryota; Metazoa; Chordata; Actinopteri; Gobiiformes; Gobiidae
Description: lncRNA (ENSNMLG00000006031.1)
Source: RNAcentral